Non-coding RNA from Marmota flaviventris (yellow-bellied marmot), 1053 nucleotides. Lineage: Eukaryota; Metazoa; Chordata; Mammalia; Rodentia; Sciuridae. The record is from RefSeq and is a predicted model, not a curated record.
AACUUCUAAAACUCGGAAGAAAAGGCAAGCGGAGCUCUGAAUCCUAAAAAUGAAUCAAUACGCAGAUUGGAAAGUUCCCUAAAUAGAUGAACAGGGGCAACCACGAAUCCAGACUUUGCCAGGCAGAAGUCUUUGGAUUUGGCAUCAAUCCUUCUUCUAGUCUUGGGGGCGUGGGAGGCUGGGUUGGGGACCUAGGGGCACUCUAGCCUGCUGGGGGCAUUUCUUCUGUCCCUUAGAGGUGUGGGCUUCUCCUUCAACCUUGAGCUUUGCCUCAAGUCCCUCUGCUGUCACACUGGCUUCCUGAUGUUCAGGGGCCUGCUUCUCCCAGGUGUGCAGGGGCCCUGCCCAGCCCUCCUGCCUGGAUGCUGGCACUCACACUGGGAAGAGAAGGAGCAGCAGAGGCCGCCCAGCCUGGGUUGUUUACCCCGCCGGAGCAGGAAGGGCCUGUCCGGCUCCUUGCCCCCUGAUCUCUAGAGGACAGGGCUGGCCGCCAGCCAGAAGCUUGACCAUUCAUGGAGAGCCCAAGGGCCAUGAAGAGCAAAGGACUGGAGCAGGAGGAAGCAGGAAAUGGAAGUUCUUCCUUGGUUGGGUCCUCCUCUUCAGUGGCCUGUGGGGUCCACCAUGGACAGCAAGCUGUCCCUUAUGCAGCGGGGCAGUGUGAGCCCAGGGAGAAAGCCCAGGUGGACAGAUGAGGAGGUUCCACCCAGAUGGAGGACAUAUUCUCAAAUCUGCAUGGACUUCAUAUCCUCAACUCUGGAUCUGGAUUUGGUGCAAGACACUCCUGGUGGAACAGGGGUUCACUUGAUGCUCUAAUCCCUUGUCACCAUGAAACGUGUGUUUUUCUUUUUCCCUAAUCUUCUCCUUCCUGAUUUUCUCCUCCCUGAUCCUGUUUUCCCUGAUCUCUCCUCCCUAACCUUAUUUUCUCUGAAUCACCUCUUUAAAAAGACGGCUAUUCCUGCCGAGGGACAGAAUCAUAUCCUUUGGGACAUGAGUCCCCUGUGUUUCUCCUUUGCUAGCAAAGCAAUAAACCAUCUUUUUCCCUUUUUCUCAAAA